UGGGGAAGUAUUGGGCAAUGGGCGAAAGCCUGACCCAGCAACGCCGCGUGAAGGAAGAAGGCUUUCGGGUUGUAAACUUCUUUUCUCAGGGACGAAAGAAAUGACGGUACCUGAGGAAUAAGCCACGGCUAACUACGUGCCAGCAGCCGCGGUAAUACGUAGGUGGCAAGCGUUAUCCGGAUUUAUUGGGUGUAAAGGGCGUGUAGGCGGGAGUGCAAGUCAGAUGUGAAAACUAUGGGCUCAACCCAUAGCCUGCAUUUGAAACUGUACUUCUUGAGUGCUGGAGAGGCAAUCGGAAUUCCGUGUGUAGCGGUGAAAUGCGUAGAUAUACGGAGGAACACCAGUGGCGAAGGCGGAUUGCUGGACAGUAACUGACGCUGAGGCGCGAAAGCGUGGGGAGCAAACAGGAUUAGAUACC
This 418-nucleotide ribosomal RNA is filed under the name uncultured bacterium. Its description in RNAcentral is "bacterial SSU rRNA". It matches the Rfam family "Bacterial small subunit ribosomal RNA", at positions 355 to 786 of the family's 1533-position model. The record is from RNAcentral.